GACGAACGCUGGCGGCGUGCUUAACACAUGCAAGUCGAACGCUGAAGCUUGGUGCUUGCACUGGGUGGAUGGGUGGCGAACGGGUGAGUAAUACGUGAGUAACCUGCCCUUGACUCUGGGAUAAGCCUGGGAAACUGGGUCUAAUACUGGAUACGACAUGUCACCGCAUGGUGGUGUGUGGAAAGGGUUUUACUGGUUUUGGAUGGGCUCACGGCCUAUCAGCUUGUUGGUGGGGUAAUGGCUCACCAAGGCGACGACGGGUAGCCGGCCUGAGAGGGUGACCGGCCACACUGGGACUGAGACACGGCCCAGCCUCCUACGGGAGGCAGCAGUGGGGAAUAUUGCACAAUGGGCGGAAGCCUGAUGCAGCGACGCCGCGUGAGGGAUGACGGCCUUCGGGUUGUAAACCUCUUUCAGCACGGAAGAAGCGAAAGUGACGGUACGUGCAGAAGAAGCGCCGGCUAACUACGUG
RNAcentral lists this ribosomal RNA (472 nucleotides) under uncultured bacterium. Its description in RNAcentral is "partial 16S ribosomal RNA". It matches the Rfam family "Bacterial small subunit ribosomal RNA", at positions 28 to 507 of the family's 1533-position model. The record is from RNAcentral.